ACGAACGCUGGCGGCGUGCUUAACACAUGCAAGUCGAACGAUGAUGCCAGCUUGCUGGUGGAUUAGUGGCGAACGGGUGAGUAACACGUGAGCAACCUGCCCCUGACUUCGGGAUAACCGCGGGAAACCGUGGCUAAUACCGGAUAUGACGCGCUAUCGCAUGGUGGUGUGUGGAAAGAUUUAUCGGUUGGGGAUGGGCUCGCGGCCUAUCAGCUUGUUGGUGGGGUGAUGGCCUACCAAGGCGACGACGGGUAGCCGGCCUGAGAGGGUGACCGGCCACACUGGGACUGAGACACGGCCCAGACUCCUACGGGAGGCAGCAGUGGGGAAUAUUGCACAAUGGGCGCAAGCCUGAUGCAGCGACGCCGCGUGAGGGAUGACGGCCUUCGGGUUGUAAACCUCUUUCAGUAGGGGAGAAGGCCUUCCGGUUGACGGUACCUGCAGAAGAAGCGCCGGCUAACUACGUG
Molecule: ribosomal RNA, 467 nt
Filed under: uncultured bacterium
Lineage: Bacteria
Description: partial 16S ribosomal RNA
Rfam family: Bacterial small subunit ribosomal RNA
Source: RNAcentral